AUUGGGAAGAAGAGGAGGUGGGGACGUGCGGAGUUGCAAGAAGGAGGCACAGAGGUGUGAGGAGGAGGCACGACGACGAGCGAAAAAUGCCCUAGUCCUAGCCCUAGCUUGGUUCGGACUCUGGAAGAGCCGAGCAUGCUGAGGAAGAGAGGAGGCGAUGCUCGAUUGUGAGGCGGUAAUCGAGGAUGACAAUAAUGGUGCGG
RNAcentral lists this long non-coding RNA (203 nucleotides) under Elaeis guineensis (African oil palm). Its description in RNAcentral is "long non-coding RNA (EGUI_LNC081788)". The record is from RNAcentral. Lineage: Eukaryota; Viridiplantae; Streptophyta; Magnoliopsida; Arecales; Arecaceae.